AACGCUUGUAGCUAAUAGCUGUAAACUCACAAAUGGACUAUUACUUUUUACAGCCUUUUAGCAGACUCAGCCUAAUGGAGCAAAACUGUUAACAAAUUAAGAUGCAUUUGACAGGGCUUCAAGCAGGAAUCAUAACCCAGGAGUCACUGUUUGGAACUUGGAGGGAAAGAUCUCGGCAGAACCUGCAUGCACCUCGGCCGGCGGCAACAGCGAAACAGAUAAGGCAACAGUUUCUUGGUCUUCUCUGAGAUUUUCAGAGCAAGGAACUGAGUUACUUUAAUUUUAGCAACAAGCUUGUCACAUCUGGAGUGCUGCCAGAUACAAAAUAAUAGUAAGGAUAGCUAACGAAAAUAUAAGGGGCCUUUAGGUGGACAAAUAGAACUUGCGGCAGUGUAAAUAUCUCGGGCAUUGUAAGAUGCUGAAGCCACAGGAACAUCUGAUCUGCGGGCAGUCUUUAAGCCAUGGACAAAACAUAUCAGCACAGGCAUGGGGCUUGUGGCGUUGGCCGCCUGAGCAAGAAACAAGCUGGCAGUAAGGAUGGCUGUAAGGACUGCCAGAUGUGUUCAGAAUGAGGUGCCUGCUCUAGCAGGCGCCCUGCGGCAGCCCGACGCUGCAUGGGCCUUCUGGGGGAAGCACGUGCCUUUGGCUGCUGUUUUUUCAGUGCUGAAGUGGAGGUGGCUUGGCCAGGUCUGGAUGUGUGCCGGAGCUAACGUAGAGCAGCUGCGUGCCUCAGAGCUUUCUGGCUUUCCAACUCCAGCUUUCAACCCUAUGAUUCUGCUUCUUCUUGGGGAUUUUUGUAGUGUUUAAUCUCUUUUACCUCCAUCUUAAAGCAAAUCUUCUGAUCUCCUCUAGCCUUUUGCUUGUUUUGGAGCUGGCUGAUGGGGUGCUUGCAUGUGACAUUGCUUUAUUCUUCACUUAACUUCUGUACAACUCAGCACUGUAUCUGGUAGUAAGACAGAGAUGUGACAUAAGCCUUGAAACCUCGUCAUGAGCCGUAGACCACGGGGGAGAGGGGAAAGGGGGGGGGAGGUUCUCCUGCAUGUUCUUAUUAUGGGAGCUUGUUGACUGUAAGUAGCAGCACAUCAGGCACCCGCAUAUGCUCUUGGUAGGGAGGUCAGCCUAUGGCACCAGCUCCCCAGUUGCUGUGCUAAUCACUAACUCACAAAGCCCAGGCAAUAACAUUCAGACUUACCUUUAUUCAUUUUUAUCCUGUUUUAAAACUUCUCCUCCCUAGGCUUGCUAAAACCUCCUUCAGUGUCACGUGAAGACUUGUUCUUCUAAUACCUUGUCAUAUUCCACUACGAACAUUCAAUGUUACAAUUUCAGCAUAAUGAUAUUUUCCCCAUAGCUGUAAAAUGUGUCUAGAUCAAUAGCUUAUUAAAAGAGUGUAAUAAAAAUUAUGACCCUGCAAUUCUGCUAUUAGUAUAACAAUAUAGAGCCAAGAAAACUCCCUGAUCCUUCUUACGCAUCUGCUGUAGCAUGAUACAAGAGCAGAACAUCUUAAGUCAGUUUAAUCCCUUCUUUUCAUCCCCUAGCAAUAUGUGUUGGCCCAUGAGAGUAACAUGAACUAAAAGUUUAAUUUAUUAAUAUGCGAUAGUGAUAAUGUCAAAAGAACAAUAUAUAAAAACCCACACAGAAAAGGAUUAUGCAGUGCAGAGCGGAAAGCCUAGAGCUAAUAUUUAAUAAUCUAAAACAGAGCCAAAAAUAACUUCUCAUCCAAGGAGCAAAAGCGGGAGAAGUGUGCAAGGGAUGGAGACGCAGAGCCCAGCGAGCAGCCUCGCGCCAGAGCCACUCCUGUCGGAACCUGUGGAGAUCAGAGGCUGAGGGAGACGGCUGCUGGGGCAGUGACCAAAGGCCCCAGCUGUCAGAUUGUCAGCCUUAGGCUCUCACGGCUCCAACUGAACUGCACGCAGGAAUCCAAGCAGCAGGCACAAGUGGCACACGUGGAGAGCAAGCCAUGUCCAGCGCGCAGUGAGCGGGGAGCCUUGUGGCUCAGCAUUUCAGUAAGCGAAGCGUGAAGCCAACUGUUCACUUCAGCUAAAUUGUUCACUUAAGCUUGGAUGAUUAAACUUUCACCAGCAGCCAAUAUAACCUGCAGCCUUAGGAGGCAUACAGACACAUUAGCGUUUCAUGAGCUUCGCCUUAAAUGAGCAAUUUGCCUUAUAGUCUUAAACCAGUAACAUUCUUGGGAGUGGAAAAUGUUUCAGCCUCCAAGGGGCUGGCAGGUUUCAAACACUUUCUACUUUGCUUUCUUGCCACUUCCCUAAAAGGAAGAACAGGGGAGGAGGGAACAGACGUGGAGGAAUAAAUCCCACUACUUUCCCAGCAUUACUAAGCGUGCAAUGUGCAGCCCCUAUCAGAAGGGCAGAACUUGCUCAAGGAAAUCUGGAUUUGCAAGGGGAAGGUCUGCAGAGGGCUCUGCAUGCGGGGUGUGGGACAGGUCCCAGUGUGGCUGCAGCUGGCCUUUGGCCUUGGUUCAGGUUCCGAUCAAGGUGUGAACUCCAGACCAAAAUGACAUCUGGGACUCCUCCUGAAUGAUGCUAAUGGUGAAGCUGAAAAUACAGAUAUAAAUGUUGGUAAGGAUUGGACUCCUAGGCCCUGGCAAAACGCUGGAUCUUAGACCAGAGGAAGAAUGGCACAUCCUCAGGUUGAGGAGCUAGUGCUGGGCGCUAUGCAGAGAGCAUUUGUCUCAUGGUUGUCUAUGAAGUCAUGUUCCAUGACCUCAUGGAUCAGAGGAACGUGAGGCUGGAGGCAGAUAAGUUAGGAGAGGUAACGAGAAGAGCAGGAUGUUCCAAGCACUGCUGUGAAGUACCUCCUGGGAUCCGAGCCCACUUCUAUGCGUGCAGCUCUGCAGCUGACACCGGGUUCAAGCUGCUGCCUGCCUAUGUGCUGCUGGGAAGGGCUUUGUUCAGCGUGUCCCCAUUCCUCAGCAGCACCCCAGCUCCCACCGCAUCAGGGAACUGACCUCACUUCUUUGCGUACGCUUUUCCCCUGCCUUCCAGAGGGUCAGCCUCCUGCUGUUGUCCACCUCACAAUAAGUGCUUGGCUGAACAGUCUGCUGGCAGGUGAGGGAUGUGAAAACAUGGAGGAUGCUUCAGGAAAAAUGGUAGAAGAACAGAGCUAGGAGUAAUAAAAUGAAGUUGAAAAAGGAAGAGUGGCCUGAAAAGUGUGCUGGAAGGUCUGCUACGCUGAGGCAUAGCCUUUUGGGAUAAAUGUGAGCCUUCCUACGAAACCAUUCAUAAAUUAUGUGAUCUGUUUGCUUUUAAAAGCUUCGUAGCAGAGGCAGCCGUCAACUCACCUGUUAGCUCCCAGUGCUUCAUUCUUGCCAGGGCCCCUGUGACAAGGCUUCCUUACACUGACAAGUUAAGUCUGGUUCCCCGCAUGAUCUGUGCCAGAAAGGCUUGCUCCGUGGGGCUCAUUCACCAGAAAUUUGACAAAAAUAUUUCUUGCUCGAAAGGCAAGCUCUCUUAUUUGAACAUUGAUGCUAUAUAUUUGUAUCCUGGACUUGAACUGAAUUUUAAGAAGUGCCCAAAGUGAGUGCCAAAAUCUAGUUUAAUUUUUGAAAGUGACUUGGGCAUCUCAGCCCAUGUGAUUGUGGGUCCAUUUAAAUUCUGGGCAAGGUCUGGGUCACACAUUCCUCCAGCCAGGCUUGGCUCCCUGGUGGUAACUGGAUCCAGAGCUUUGUGCUGAAGCUCUCCAGUGUGAGCUGAGAAGGAAGAACACCCACGUGGACUCUGUUGAUAAAAACCUUUGGGUCCUUGAGUGAGAUAAUUAAGUAACGUGAGGGAGGUUUGUGGAAAAGCAUAUUUGACAUUUGUUUUUUACUGACAAAGAACACAAAAAUGAUGCAGGUAACAUGAAAAUUAAAGUUUUAUCUGCUGGCUUUCCUAAGCAAGGCACACAAUGCUUUUUUUCCACUCCACGAUUUGAGAAAACAUUGAUUUGAUCCAUUGGAGUGAUGAAUGCCCACAGAAUAAACCCUUUUUUUUCUCCUGGAAUGAUGACCUUGUGCAGAUUAGAGCAGCUAGGUAAGAAAUCCAGCAAGUAUUUAUCAAAGGCUUCUACGACAGUGCAAACUCUAGCGAGUUCAAAAGCAAGAGACUUUUCGUCUUCAUACAACUCACAGGGUUAUAACAUUUCAAGAAUGCCAGGAAUCCAUGCGGCUGUUCCAUUAAACACCUCUGAUUAGUGAAUGUGCUGAUAAACUUUGAGAGUCAGAGGUCAGAACUGUGGAGCCGAAGGUACCCCAGGUAUCUGAAAAUGUCUCCAGGAUUCCUGGUCCUCUUUCCCAGUUAACCCCUUCCAUCACUUCACCCAUGGAGGCCUAAAGUGGAGCUUCUCUGACGCAGUAUCUCCCAGAUAGUUCUGCAGAGAUGUUAAGAGUUAUUUUGAAAACUGUGGAAAAAUGACCUCAGGAGCCUCCUAUAGAAAUGUUCUCGACAGCUGGCUGCUCUUUGAUUUCAGCUGCAGCUCCUAGUUAAUAUAUGUGCAGAAUGCUGUGUUGCCACUGGCUCAUCCAGCCUCUCUCUCAUCAGCUUCAGGUGAUACAAUGAUGGCAGCAGGCUGUGCAUUAAAAUACCUCUGGAGCUAUCAAAUUGCAAAGAGGAAUGCAAUUUCAAAAUACUCAGACAGGAGCAGUCGCACCACCCUGUCACCGUGUAAAGCUCUCUGCUUUGUUCAGAUUUCGUCCUAAGAGCUACAGCUCUACUCCCACCGAGUGCCUGUAACAAGCAAUUGGGAAAUCCAGCAAACACGGACUCUGUGCCCGACUGUCACUUUGCAGGACGUUGGUUUAUCAGGAGGAUCCCAGGAAGCUGAGUUAUCCCAACAGCGUCCCAGACCAUUUUUCAGGCCAUUGCCCUAACAUGCUAGCCCAUCCUGAUGCAGUGCGGGUUGCUUUUGUCUCUGUCUCCCAGAAGGCAGCUUGGGGCUCCCAGUCCAACCACUCCUGCAAUAUAUGGCUUGUCGUUCCAUGCUCCAGUUAUGAGCUGCUGGAGGUACUGAGGAUUCAUCUCCUCCACCGAGGGCCAAAGUGUGACCCCAUCAGUUUCUUUGAAAAUCAAUAGGAAAAUGCCGAGGAAUGCAAAGGAAGUAGAAACAGUCAAAGUAAAGACAAGUGAUGUCCUGUAAUGGCCAUAAUGAUUCUGAAACACGCAAGGUCACAGAUAAUUAGGAACCUAAUUCUCCUUUGAAAGAAUCUGUCAAGUUACUUCCCAACCUCAAAAACCAUUGCUGAUUGAUGUUAUUUCUGGGCUAACAAACUCAUUGAAGGUAGUCUGAAUGGGAGGUGUAUGGCCCUUACUAUCCAGGUGGGGUUAGGUAGUCACAGCUGGAGAAUAAAACUAAAGCUGGAGAGUAAAAGAAGUUUUCUUUGCCAUAGUAAUGGUCUUAAUAGGACGUGAUUCAUGAAGGUUCCAGCUCCUUCCUCUCUACAACAUU
Numida meleagris (helmeted guineafowl) is the source of this 5439-nucleotide long non-coding RNA. RefSeq lists it as uncharacterized. Lineage: Eukaryota; Metazoa; Chordata; Aves; Galliformes; Numididae. The transcript is spliced from 3 exons. The record is from RefSeq and is a predicted model, not a curated record.